AGAGUUUGAUCAUGGCUCAGAUUGAACGCUGGCGGCAUGCCUUACACAUGCAAGUCGAACGGCAGCACGGGUGCUUGCACCUGGUGGCGAGUGGCGAACGGGUGAGUAAUACAUCGGAACGUACCUUAUCGUGGGGGAUAACGCAGCGAAAGCUGUGCUAAUACCGCAUACGCCCUGAGGGGGAAAGCGGGGGAUCGCAAGACCUCGCGCGAUUAGAGCGGCCGAUGCCUGAUUAGCUAGUUGGUGGGGUAAAAGCCCACCAAGGCGACGAUCAGUAGCUGGUCUGAGAGGACGAUCAGCCACACUGGGACUGAGACACGGCCCAGACUCCUACGGGAGGCAGCAGUGGGGAAUUUUGGACAAUGGGGGCAACCCUGAUCCAGCAAUGCCGCGUGAGUGAAGAAGGCCUUCGGGUUGUAAAGCUCUUUUGUCAGGGAAGAAACACCGGCUCUAACACAGUCCGGGAAUGACGGUACCUGAAGAAUAAGCACCGGCUAACUACGUGCCAGCAGCCGCGGUAAU
Molecule: ribosomal RNA, 522 nt
Filed under: uncultured bacterium
Lineage: Bacteria
Description: bacterial SSU rRNA
Rfam family: Bacterial small subunit ribosomal RNA
Source: RNAcentral